RNAcentral lists this ribosomal RNA (490 nucleotides) under uncultured bacterium. RNAcentral's name for it is "partial 16S ribosomal RNA". It matches the Rfam family "Bacterial small subunit ribosomal RNA", at positions 29 to 507 of the family's 1533-position model. The record is from RNAcentral.
AUUGAACGCUGGCGGCAGGCCUAACACAUGCAAGUCGAACGGUAACAGGAAGAAGCUUGCUUCUUUGCUGACGAGUGGCGGACGGGUGAGUAAUGUCUGGGAAACUGCCUGAUGGAGGGGGAUAACUACUGGAAACGGUAGCUAAUACCGCAUAACGUCGCAAGACCAAAGAGGGGGACCUUCGGGCCUCUUGCCAUCGGAUGUGCCCAGAUGGGAUUAGCUAGUAGGUGGGGUAACGGCUCACCUAGGCGACGAUCCCUAGCUGGUGUGAGAGGAUGACACGCCACCCGGGAACCGAGCAACGGCACAGACCCCAAGGGGAGGCAGGAGGGGGGAAAUUUGCAAAAGGGGCGCAGGCUUGAGGGAGCAACGCCGCGUGAAUGAAGAAGCCCUUCGGUUUUUAAAUUUCUUUCAGCGGGGAGGAAGGAAUAAAUAAGAAACCCUUCACACAUUGACGUGCCCCAAAAAGAAAGCCCCGGCUAACCCCGUG